This 124-nucleotide microRNA precursor is filed under the name Hordeum vulgare. RNAcentral's name for it is "microRNA MIR1122". It matches the Rfam family "MIR1120/MIR1122 microRNA precursor family". Lineage: Eukaryota; Viridiplantae; Streptophyta; Magnoliopsida; Poales; Poaceae. The record is from RNAcentral.
AUAGUACUACCUUCAUCUGAAAAUACUUGUUCUAGAGAUGAAUGUAUCUAGACUUAUUUUAAUUAUAGAUACAUUCAUUAUAUGUAUUUUUAGGACAAAUAUUUUCGGACGGAGGGAGUACAUC